GUGAGAGGUCUAAUGCUUUAAUAUUGUAAUGACCUGACUAGAUCAUAAAGGAACAAUUGUCCAGACAGAGGGUUGAGUUUAAGAAUUUACGGUUUAUUAACCCAACUCCCCACAGGCUACUGUUUGGCCGUAGCCCACGACAAAUAAAUGAAGGAUACCCUAUAAACCAACCGUGACCUUCUCUUGUGAAAGCCAGACAUAAGAGAGAGAACAACGUCUAAACCUGGUCUAAACUUCCAAUGCUCCCUGCCCAACCCCCCUCCACGCCUCUCCACCAACCACCAGGAAGCCCGGCAUCAGAAUGUUCCAGGCAUUCCUGUGAUUGGCAGAUAGCAGGUUGAUUGGCAUGUCGAACCCCGCGAACACUGGGUACUGGUAUAGGUGUUCAGACGUUCCUGAGUACUGGACAGACCAUAUUUUCCAGAAUACAUUGACAAGGAAAACGCCAAGGAGUGUGGAGAUGCAUCGCAGAUCUACCUGUCUGUUUCUCUCUUCCUCACCUGUCCCACUGCCUCCUUCACCUGUCUCAAGGCCUCCACGCUGGUCUUCCGAUGACAGACAGACAGCUACCUAGCCUAAACCCCGCCCCCUCUGAAUCGGAAUCUCCCUGGAAUGUUCCAGAAUGCCUGAACUUAGCAUGCCUGCUGCUGUUUGCGUUAACUUAAGUCAUAUUGAUUGAUAAAUAUAUGAUAUUGAUCAUUUUGGCUGUUGGACUGAGAGAAAUAAGCUGUUGACUGACUCCAUGUUUGAUGUCUUUACAAUCACAGAGAGAUGUUGACUUCAGAUGUUUGAUGUCUUUCAAACACCAAAGUUGUUCUUCUUUGGACAACCGUUCUAAAACCAUGAAAGGGCUUUUUGGUUUCUUCUUCUUCAGUGUCUGAUAAGAGAAC
Non-coding RNA from Oncorhynchus mykiss (rainbow trout), 890 nucleotides. The record is from RefSeq and is a predicted model, not a curated record. NCBI's taxonomy places the organism in Eukaryota, Metazoa, Chordata, Actinopteri, Salmoniformes, Salmonidae.